Molecule: transfer RNA, 85 nt
Filed under: Felis catus (domestic cat)
Lineage: Eukaryota; Metazoa; Chordata; Mammalia; Carnivora; Felidae
Rfam family: tRNA
About the family: Transfer RNA (tRNA) molecules are approximately 80 nucleotides in length. Their secondary structure includes four short double-helical elements and three loops (D, anti-codon, and T loops). Further hydrogen bonds mediate the characteristic L-shaped molecular structure. tRNAs have two regions of fundamental functional importance: the anti-codon, which is responsible for specific mRNA codon recognition, and the 3' end, to which the tRNAs corresponding amino acid is attached (by aminoacyl-tRNA synthetases). tRNAs cope with the degeneracy of the genetic code in two manners: having more than one tRNA (with a specific anti-codon) for a particular amino acid; and 'wobble' base-pairing, i.e. permitting non-standard base-pairing at the 3rd anti-codon position.
Source: Rfam by way of RNAcentral
GCCUGGGUGGCUCAGUCAGUUGAGCGUCUGACUUCGGCUCAGGUCAUGAUCUCUCACACUGUGAGUUUGAGCCCCAUGUCAGGCU